GGGGGCGCUGUGUCCGUAUAUAUACUGAUAAGGGGGCGCUGUGUCGUUUGUAUAUAUACUGAUAAGGGGGCGCUGUGUCGUUUGUAUACUGAUAGGGGCGCUGUGUCGUUUGUAUAUAUACUGAUAGGGGGCGCUGUGUCGUUCGUAUAUAUACUGAUAGGGGGCGCUGUGUCGAAGUCACCGUACCGCCAUCUUGGCACUCCCUCACCAUUUGUAAAACAUCUAUUUUAAUUUAUUACAGACACCUGUAAGAGUGUAAAGUGACCCGGUGCAGAAAGCCUAGCGGUUAAGCGCGUUGAGCCAAUAACCGAAAGGUUGCUGGUUCGAAUCCUCGACCGGGCAAGGUGUAAAAAAAUAAAUAAAAUCUGCCGUUCUCCCUUUGAACAAGUCAGUUAACCCCCAACAACAACUGCUCCCCGGGUACCGAUGUCGUGGAUUAAGGCAGCCCCCCCCCCACCUCCCUGAUUCAGAGGGGUUGGGUUAAGUGCUGAAGACAGUUCAAUUCAAUGCAUUGUUGUGCAAUGUAUCCCCAACCAACUGACUAGGUAUCCCCAACCAACUGACUAGGUAUCCCCAACCAACUGACGAGGUAUCCCCAAGCAACUGACGAGGUAUCCCCAAGCAACUGACGAGGUAUCCCCAAGCAACUGACGAGGUAUCCCCCCAAGCAACUGACGAGGUAUCCCCAGGCAACUGACGAGGUAUCCCCCCAAGCAACUGACGAGGUAUCCCCAGGCAACUGACGAGGUAUCCCCCCAAGCAACUGACGAGGUAUCCCCUUUGUGUGACAGAGAGAAGUGUUUGCAGUGCUGCUGGUGGAAACGUCAUUUCGCCUAGUCAUCCUUUUAAAGCAGCCUUCAGGUACGGGUGUUAAUGGUGUCAGGGUAAAUGUAUAAUUUCAUUAAUUACUGGAAUUGAUUUGUACAUCUUACUGUAGAAAUUACCAGGCCUACUGUACAUC
This is a long non-coding RNA of Oncorhynchus tshawytscha (Chinook salmon), 961 nucleotides long. Lineage: Eukaryota; Metazoa; Chordata; Actinopteri; Salmoniformes; Salmonidae. The record is from Ensembl.